Molecule: ribosomal RNA, 468 nt
Filed under: uncultured bacterium
Lineage: Bacteria
Description: partial 16S ribosomal RNA
Rfam family: Bacterial small subunit ribosomal RNA
Source: RNAcentral
GACGAACGCUGGCGGCGUGCUUAACACAUGCAAGUCGAACGGAAAGGCCCUGCUUUUGUGGGGUGCUCGAGUGGCGAACGGGUGAGUAACACGUGAGUAACCUGCCCUUGACUUUGGGAUAACUUCAGGAAACUGGGGCUAAUACCGGAUAGGAGCUCCUGCUGCAUGGUGGGGGUUGGAAAGUUUCGGCGGUUGGGGAUGGACUCGCGGCUUAUCAGCUUGUUGGUGGGGUAGUGGCUUACCAAGGCUUUGACGGGUAGCCGGCCUGAGAGGGUGACCGGCCACAUUGGGACUGAGAUACGGCCCAGACUCCUACGGGAGGCAGCAGUGGGGAAUAUUGCACAAUGGGCGGAAGCCUGAUGCAGCAACGCCGCGUGCGGGAUGACGGCCCUCGGGUUGUAAACCGCUUUCGCCUGUGACGAAGCGUGAGUGACGGUAAUGGGUAAAUAAGCACCGGCUAACUACGUG